AUUGAACGCUGGCGGCAUGCCUUACACAUGCAAGUCGAACGGCAGCACGGGAGCAAUCCUGGUGGCGAGUGGCGAACGGGUGAGUAAUAUAUCGGAACGUGCCCAGUCGUGGGGAUAACGUAGCGAAAGCUACGCUAAUACCGCAUACGAUCUAUGGAUGAAAGCGGGGGAUCGCAAGACCUCGCGCGAUUGGAGCGGCCGAUAUCAGAUUAGGUAGUUGGUGAGGUAAAGGCUCACCAAGCCGACGAUCUGUAGCUGGUCUGAGAGGACGACCAGCCACACUGGGACUGAGACACGGCCCAGACUCCUACGGGAGGCAGCAGUGGGGAAUUUUGGACAAUGGGCGCAAGCCUGAUCCAGCAAUGCCGCGUGCAGGAUGAAGGCCUUCGGUUGUAACUGCUUUGUUACGGAACGAACGGUGAGCUCUAAUAC
RNAcentral lists this ribosomal RNA (432 nucleotides) under uncultured bacterium. RNAcentral describes it as "bacterial SSU rRNA". It matches the Rfam family "Bacterial small subunit ribosomal RNA", at positions 30 to 465 of the family's 1533-position model. The record is from RNAcentral.